This 465-nucleotide ribosomal RNA is filed under the name uncultured bacterium. Its description in RNAcentral is "partial 16S ribosomal RNA". It matches the Rfam family "Bacterial small subunit ribosomal RNA", at positions 28 to 506 of the family's 1533-position model. The record is from RNAcentral.
GACGAACGCUGGCGGCGUGCUUAACACAUGCAAGUCGAACGGAAAGGCUCCAGCUUGCUGGAGUGCUCGAGUGGCGAACGGGUGAGUAACACGUGGGCAAUCUGCCCUGCACUCUGGGAUAAGCCUGGGAAACUGGGUCUAAUACCGGAUAGGACCUUUCUCCUCAUGGGGUUUGGUGGAAAGUUUUUCGGUGCAGGAUGAGCCCGCGGCCUAUCAGCUUGUUGGUGGGGUAAUGGCCUACCAAGGCGACGACGGGUAGCCGGCCUGAGAGGUGAUCGGCCACAUUGGGACUGAGAUACGGCCCAGACUCCUACGGGAGGCAGCAGUGGGGAAUAUUGCACAAUGGGCGAAAGCCUGAUGCAGCGACGCCGCGUGAGGGAUGACGGCCUUCGGGUUGUAAACCUCUUUCAGUAGGGACGAAGCGCAAGUGACGGUACCUGCAGAAGAAGCACCGGCUAACUACGU